CAGCAGCCGCGGUAAUACGAAGGGUGCAAGCGUUAAUCGGAAUUACUGGGCGUAAAGCGUGCGUAGGCGGUGAGUUGAGUCUGCUGUGAAAUCCCCGGGCUCAACCUGGGAAUGGCAGUGGAUACUGGCUCGCUAGAGUGUGUCAGAGGAUGGUGGAAUUCCCGGUGUAGCGGUGAAAUGCGUAGAGAUCGGGAGGAAUACCGGUGGCGAAGGCGGCCCCCUGGACGAAGACUGACGCUCAGGUACGAAAGCGUGGGGAGCAAACAGGAUUAGAUACCCCUGUAGUCCCUGUCUCUUAUAC
RNAcentral lists this ribosomal RNA (301 nucleotides) under uncultured bacterium. RNAcentral describes it as "partial 16S ribosomal RNA". It matches the Rfam family "Bacterial small subunit ribosomal RNA", at positions 509 to 807 of the family's 1533-position model. The record is from RNAcentral.